AGUCUGAAAAUCGGUCGAUUCUCGGAGGAAGUCCAUGC
Molecule: small RNA, 38 nt
Filed under: Sinorhizobium meliloti 2011
Lineage: Bacteria; Pseudomonadati; Pseudomonadota; Alphaproteobacteria; Hyphomicrobiales; Rhizobiaceae
Description: putative ncRNA
Source: RNAcentral